This 1310-nucleotide long non-coding RNA is filed under the name Homo sapiens (human). Its description in RNAcentral is "HSALNT0270243". Lineage: Eukaryota; Metazoa; Chordata; Mammalia; Primates; Hominidae. The record is from RNAcentral.
GGAAUUUUGGGGGACACGUGACCAGGCCUGCCCUAUUGGGGAGGAGCACCCACUCCCACCAGCAUGACUGGUCAGGGUGGCACGGGGCCAGGGACGGCCAGCAUCCGGGCUAGGACUCCAGUACUCUUGACGCAGGUGGCUAGGCUGGCAGGAGGUGAGGUGGGAGCUGCCAGGCCCCUUUUGUCACCACGGGAGCUGCCGGUGCAUGAAGCCAUCCAGAGGCAGCCAAGAGAUGGCACCAGAGAUUCCUGGCGCCACAGCCCCUGGACUUGGCUGUGCCCGACGCCAGGGACAGGAGCCAAUAAAUCCCCAUGAGCCUUCGGGUCCUCGUCUGACAGUCAUGACCGCAGCAGCCGGGUGUGAGGGCAGGGCUGGGUAUUCGGAGACCUUCAGAAGCCUGGUCACGGAGGGCCUGCCCAGGGACCCCCCUGCCUCUCCCCCCAGGCCCCACGGCGGCAGAGACUCACAGGCAAAGAACUGCCAGGGCUGGUAGGUGCGGCCGAAGUCCAUGGACCGCUCCAGCACCCAGAGGUCCGGCCGGGACAGGGGCCCUGGACAGCUGUCCUCGAGGGCCUGGUGGCUGCACAGAUGGUCACAGGAAGGGAAGCCCGCGCUGGAGGACUCCCAUCUGUCUCUGACCUGGUCGCGGCUCCCAGGGCCACACCGGCCGCCCUCGCCAUGACCCGGAGCGAGCGCAGACCCCUGGCUUCGGGACCGCCCUUCCCCCUCCACGCCCCGCUCAGCUCAGCUGCCAGUGCUGACCUUUCCGCUGCUACAUGGUUCUGUGCAGAAAGAAAAAAAAAAGUCUUUUAAAGCAAAAGCCAAACAAAAGCUGCCUGAGUUAUUUUUAAAAAUCGGCUAUUUUGGGGCAGGCACGUCUCCAGGACGGCAGCCGGACCCGCCUCUCAGCCACUGCACCCUCCAGUCCCCACUACCCAGCUUGCCCUGGGAGGGCCACGGUUCCCAGAGGAGGCCUCUGCCCGGUGACCACUGCCUCACAGGGGGUGGGCAAGAGCCCCAGGAGUACGGGGCCCAGGACCCAGGGCCCAGGCCGGCUCCAGGCUUCAGGGGUUGUGCGGCCCUGGAGCGGACACUUCCCCUUCCUGGGCACAGGGCAGUGGGAAGAGCUGCAGAGAGGGGCAUCAGGAUAAAAUGCCUUUCAUGAGGGCAUGAAGGUUUGAGCGCCCUGGGAGGGAGGACGCCAGCUGCUCCUGGAGGGCAGCAGCCACCCCGCAGAGACGCUGAGAGGCCCCCACUGGAGCUGCCCCACUCACUGGCGCUCCGAAGGCAAAGCUGCGGAGGGGACUGAG